RNAcentral lists this long non-coding RNA (2447 nucleotides) under Equus asinus (donkey). RNAcentral describes it as "lncRNA (ENSEASG00005028403.1)". The record is from RNAcentral. Lineage: Eukaryota; Metazoa; Chordata; Mammalia; Perissodactyla; Equidae.
UAAAGCCUGGUGGUAAUGUUUAUUGAGCAUUUACCAUGUUCUAAACAUCAUGCUAAGCACUUUAUGUAGAUCAUCUCACUUAAUCCUCACUGCAUUAUGAGCUGGUUUCAAGUAUUAGCACCCUCAUCUUACAGUUGGGAAAAACUGAGGUUCAGAUUAGUUCAUUCAUUUGCUCAAAGUCACAUAGCCCAUAUGUGGCAGAACCAGCAUCUGAACUCAGAUCACUGCCUCCAAAAGCUGAGCUCUUAAAACUAUGUCUUAUAUUAUUAAACAUCAAACAUUAUAAAGCGGUGAAACUCUGUUCUUGUCAUCUGUGUGAAAAACAGUUUUGAUCCAAGAUGUGAUAAAAUCAUUCAAUUAGAGAAUCUUUGAAUUGUAAUGGGUCCUGUGGGAUUAUCAAACCCAACCUCCCACUCAAUGGAGGAAUCCCCUUUCAGUCUAUAGGCCGGUGCAUGUAACAAGUGCUUAAUUGUGUUGAACUGGAGAAGACAUUCUGGCAGCUGAUUAUCCAGUUUCUGCAUGAACCUCUCCCAGUGAUGAGGAGUUCAUUGCCUCCCAACGCAGCCUCUUCCAUGUUAAAAAGCUCUGCUUGCCAGAAACUUCUUUCUCUGCUGAAAACGACAUUGAUCUGUAGUUUUCCAUCUUUCUCUCAUUGCUCCUCGUUGCAGGAAAAAAGUUGACAGUUUUACGAUUUGAACAUUUGACUGAAAAGUUUUUUGCUGCCAUUCAGUCACCACAUCCAUCGUUGCCUGCCCUUCCCAACCUCCAGAAGGAAAGGGAAACAAAACAUUAGGGUUGUAUUUUGUUUCCUCAAGUUUGGUUAAGUUAGAGCAAGAUUUGUUCGCUCAAGACGCUUCUUCCUUAUCCUUUUUAACAUUAAAAUGUUGGAAAGGAAUAAAAGCAAAAAAGGAACAGAACAGUAGAAUCUACUUUCCAAUUACAUCAAUAAAUGGGUGCACGGAGCAUGUUGAAUUCGAUAGAAAUGUUUGCUACGCUACUGGGGCAGGGAGGAAGCCUGUGGUUAAAUCUAUCAAUUUUGUUGUUUUUACAAAAGUACCGGAGCCAUCUGUGUGCGACCCAGUCAUUAGCUUGGGGUCCUCUCCCUGCAGAAGGAACAAUUAGAAACACCAUGUGCUGGUUCUCAAAACUUGUGCCCUGCACCUCCACCCAGAAGGCUAGAUUUUCCAUUAGUCCCUUAUUUCUAUCUUAUUGGUAAGGAGCUGCUUCUAAACCUUUCUCUUUUCUCCUGACUGAAGGAGGAGGUUAAAUUCCCCUUAGAUUUAGGAAGGCCCAGGGAACCACCGAGACGGCGAGACCUCCUGGAUUCCUAGAGAACACUGGGGGGAGGGGCUGUGACGCACUUCCGGUAGGUUUUCCAGGACUUGUGUUUGUCUUGAACGUCUGAUUUUCGGCUCGUUGUCUCUCUGCCCGGGCGACCCAGGCCUUCUGAGUUCCCGUCUGCGGGUGGCGGUGGGGACACGAGAUACAUGGUCACUGUCCCUAGCAUCUGGCCCCGGCAGGGUGUAGAGAGAAGCCCCGCACCCUUGGUUCCGUCUGCCCCUGCCCAAACCACCUUUGUGCUUUGACUUAACCUAAAUGAUGGGGUCGAUUAGGAAAGACUGGAGACAAAACAAGACGCUAGCAUCUUUCUGCCCUUGUACAGAAUCAUAGGAAAACCUUACCAGAAAGUGCAGCUCCGGUGGUUUGGAUCCAGGAAGAAAGAACAACCUAGAGAUGUUCCAGAAAAAAAGAAGCUACAAAAAUUAGGGUGGUCGCAGAUUUGAACCUGUCAAAUCACUGAUAGCAGAACUAAGAGAAGCUCGUUAAAAUCAGCAUGAGAUAAGCAUCCAACAUGCCUAGCCAGAGGCAGAAAAUAGAGCCAAAACUGGACAGGUGGACUCUCAGAGUUCACCCUAACAUCAGAGUUAUGGCUGAGAUAACCCUACUAAUUUCAAAGGUCGUGAACCUUCAUAUCAAGGCAAUCUUGUCUUGAUCUCGACAUCUCUGACCCUUGCUCAGUAUUGUUUUCAUUGGCUGCAAUAUAAAGAUGGAAGAUUAGCCCUGAACUAACAUCUGCCACCAAUCCUCCUCUUUUUCCUGAGGAAGACUGGCCCUGAGCAAACAUCCAUGCCCAUCUUCCUCCACCUUAUAUGAGGGACACCUGCCACAGCAUGGCUUGACAAGUGGUGUGCAUGUCCGCACCUGGGAUCCAAACCGGCGAACCACAGGCCACCGAAGCAGAACAUGCAAACUUAACUGCUGUGCAACCAGGCCAGCCCCCAAUCUUUCCUCUGAUAGCCCAAGGCUUACCUGCUAGGAACGCCAGUGAAAAGACAGCACCACUUUCCAGUGACUCAGCAAAAAUUCUGGGCUGACAUCCUUCGGAAUAACAUGAGUCACAUGGUCACCAUUGAACUCAUUACUAUGGCCAGCGCAAUGGAAUAUUC